GCACUCAGAACAGGCACCUGCAUCGGCGCUUGAACAGCGCCUGAAUGGCGCUCGUAACGGGGGCUUGCAGCGGCAAAGAUCAGCGCUUGAAUGGCACUGAAAUGAGUGCCUGAAUGAUGCUGGAAUGAGUGCCUGAAUGGCGCUCAGAAUUGGGGCUGAAUAAUGCUCAGAAUUGGCGCCUGAAUGACGUUUGGAAAUGGCACUUGCAGCCCCUUUGACCAGCACCAGCAGCGGCGCUUUAAUGUCGCUUGAAUGUGGGGCCUGUAGUGGCUGAAACUGCAGCCCCAAAAGCACCGAAAAUGGCUCUUUUGGAACGCCUUAAAUGGUGCCUGCAGCGACGCUUUGAAUAGCACCUGCAGUGGUGCUUAAUGGUGCUCUAAAUGGGGCUCGAAAUGGCGCAUGUAGUGAAUAUAUAUAUAUAAUAUAUGUAUGUAGAUAGAGAAAGAAAUGGGUUUUUAUGGUGAAGAAAUAAUCUAGAUCAAAGACGUUGUAGUUGAAUGGGUGGCAUGGCUGUAGGUGGAAGUAAACCACAAAAGCUGAACCAUUUCACCCAAUUUCUUGUUCUAUUUGAUUUUAUUUCCAGAAAGGAAACAAUUAUCUAAGCAACUAACACCAAGGCAGAGGCAAGAUUGCAAGGCUCUGAUACCAAAUGUAAGCAAUUCAUAAUGCAUAUAAACAAUCUUAAUUUGUAACUUAUGCCAUACUUACCUCCAGCCAUUGUUGGGUUGCAAGUCUUUGGUUUCCAAAACUCUAUCUCUCCUUAUGGAUGGUGUAGUUUCUGAAGAUUUUCAGCAGCAUGAGAGAGGAGCUCGGGACCAAGACCGAUAUUUAAAAUACAAAGAAAACGUGGCUUCCCAUCAAAGCCACGUUUCUCUGAUUUGCCACACGAUGAGCAGUUGAGAGAAACGUGCUCCUUAACAGCAGCUACAUGAUGAAGGACGUGGUCAAGUGUUGGACCACUUCAGGGCAGCGGAACGUGGGUGAUUUGAUAACAGUCACCUCAUAUAGUAAGUUGUUCAAGGAAGAAAUAUUCCAUUUGCCUCCAAGUUGACAACUCCUCAACAUCGCUCCACAUUCUAUAAAUGGCUAGCUAUGAAGGUAGUAGAGAAAAGAGAAGCAUUAAGUAGAACAAUUUAAGAGUAGG
This 1144-nucleotide long non-coding RNA is filed under the name Vitis vinifera (wine grape). Its description in RNAcentral is "long non-coding RNA (VVIN_LNC004598)". Lineage: Eukaryota; Viridiplantae; Streptophyta; Magnoliopsida; Vitales; Vitaceae. The record is from RNAcentral.